Molecule: ribosomal RNA, 372 nt
Filed under: uncultured organism
Description: partial 16S ribosomal RNA
Rfam family: Bacterial small subunit ribosomal RNA
Source: RNAcentral
GAAGGGUGGCAAGCGUUGUUCGGAAUCACUGGGCUUAAAGCGCGCGUAGGCGGAAAUUCAAGUGUCUUGUGAAAUCCCUCGGCUUAACCGAGGAAUUGCUUGGCAAACUGAAUUUCUUGAGGCAAGUAGGGGUACAUGGAACUCUUGGUGGAGCGGUGGAAUGCGUAGAUAUCAAGAGGAACGCCGAAGGUGAAGACAGUGUACUGGGCUUGUCCUGACGCUGAGGUGCGAAAGCGUGGGGAGCGAACGGGAUUAGAUACCCCGGUAGUCCACGCCGUAAACGAUGUCUACUAGGUUGUGGAGGUUCUGACACCCUCACAGUCGAAGCAAAAGUGUUAAGUAGACCGCCUGGGGAGUACGGUCGCAAGGCUA